GCCGCGCUCAGGCCACCGGCCUUUUAGCCCUGCGCUUCUGUCGUGUGCGAUCGCAAGGUCUGAUCUGCGGGGAUGGCUUCCUGGGAGGCUGGGGGCCGGCCCUCCAGAACCCCAACCCCGGCGGACCUUGCACCCCUGGAGUCGGUCUCUAGCCUCCUAAAGAUGCAGCUGCCUGAUUCCGACUGCAGGUUGAAAACACAAGCCACAGAAUGCUAAGAUGCUGGGAUUCCUACGGUUCCAACUGGAUUACACAUACCAUUACAAUAAGAACAUGCAGCAAAUAAGGUGGUAUACUAGACAUGUACUGUUCAGGACAAUGUACUGCCAGGACCAUGUUCAGCGUCCAUGUACUGUUCAGGACAAUGCUGAUGGUGGCAGGGACACAUGGCAUUUGCUCCAAGUACUCCUUUUAUUUAUUUAACUCAGUUCUUCAGGUAGGUACAAUGAUCUCAUUACAGAAUGUGCAGUGGUUUAGGGCCUUAUAUUUAUCCAACUUGGUUGCUAUGUGAUUAAUGGAAUCCCUUAAGAUUCCAUAUCCUGAUAAAACAGCAAGAACUAAACAGGUUAGUCUACUUUUGAUUGGCAAGGAAGAGCUGUUAAGAAUCAAAGCUCUGGCCAGGCACCAGUGGCUCAUGCCUGUGAUCCUAGCUACUCGGGCCUGAGAACAGGAUUGUGGUUCAA
Long non-coding RNA from Dipodomys spectabilis (banner-tailed kangaroo rat), 681 nucleotides. RefSeq lists it as uncharacterized. The transcript is spliced from 3 exons. NCBI's taxonomy places the organism in Eukaryota, Metazoa, Chordata, Mammalia, Rodentia, Heteromyidae. The record is from RefSeq and is a predicted model, not a curated record.